GGUUUAAUUUUCGAUGCAACGCGAAAAACCUUACCACUUCUUGACAUGGAGGCUAGAUCCUUCUUAACAGAAGGGCGCAGUUCGGCUGGGCCUCGCACAGGUGCUGCAUGGCUGUCGUCAGCUCGUGUCGUGAGAUGUUGGGUUAAGUCCCGCAACGAGCGCAACCCUCAUCCUUAGUUACCAGCGGGUAAUGCCGGGCACUUUAAGGAAACUGCCAGUGAUAAACUGGAGGAAGGUGGGGAUGAUGUCAAGUCAGCACGGCCCUUAUGGGGUGGGCUACACACGUGCUACAAUGGCGACUACAAUAGGUUGCAACGUCGCAAGGCUGAGCUAAUCCGUAAAAGUCGUCUCAGUUCGGAUUGUCCUCUGUAACUCGAGGGCAUGAAGUCGGAAUCGCUAGUAAUCGUGGAUCAGCCAUGC
RNAcentral lists this ribosomal RNA (420 nucleotides) under uncultured Anaplasma sp. RNAcentral describes it as "bacterial SSU rRNA". It matches the Rfam family "Bacterial small subunit ribosomal RNA", at positions 943 to 1357 of the family's 1533-position model. Lineage: Bacteria; Pseudomonadati; Pseudomonadota; Alphaproteobacteria; Rickettsiales; Anaplasmataceae. The record is from RNAcentral.